GGUUUUGGUUUAUUGGAACCCAGUCCUGCUAGAUUUUCUGUUAACUCAACAUUGAGAAUUAGGUAAUUAUCAUCGUCGCAAAAAAUUAGGGUAGGGCUUCUUUUAUGUUAGUUAAACGUCAUGAGAGUAUAUGCUUUGGUGGUAAUGUAAAGAUCUGACCAGUUGCUCUUGGUAGAGAAAGCAUUUGAGCUAUCAUAUUCCAGAUGUAGCUGCAUAGCUCGUUCUUCGGAAACUAGAAUUUUCAUCAUAUUUUUCAAUUGCAUGAUAGUCAUCUGUUCUAGACCUUGUUUCUGAUGGCAAUGGCUACUGAAGUAAAACUUCUUUACUGAGAGAGCUAAAGACAGUGAAAGCUGACCUGGAUUUUGUGAAGAAGCGACUGGCUCAGCUGGAAGAACACAACAUCCUCAGAGAGAGCUGUGAAACUGGAGACAACCCUGACAAUGAUGAUUUGACAAGCCUUCAGCUUGAGUCUCUUUUGGCUAAGAACGAUCGACUUGCAAAGAGAACUCGGUCCAUGCACAGUAGAAGCAUUUCCUGAGAGAGAUUGUCGAGCACCACCAUCUCACCACAGGUCAACACAGUGAUCAUAAGGGCCCAAAUACCAGCAGAAUACGUUAGACGACAUUAAGUGGAUUUUCGUUCCAUUAAGGAAAGAACUACAUCGCUUGAUCUUGUGCAACGACAACGGAAAUAAUUGCUUGCUUGUGCUACACAUUUGUCAUUUCUUACAAUGAGACCGAACUAGAGAAGGCGGGACCGUUGCUGUUGGAAAGGUAAGUUGAUGUACAUCUCCAUCUUCAUGACUGCAACUCUUUAGAUACAUCUCUGCAUGUGCAAGCUCUAAGUUGUGAAUGAGUCUGCGCUUGAUGUGAGCUUAUCAUCCACUUAAUGCAGCAGAUUUGUAUAAAAACUGGGAUCGAAACUGGUAACAGCCUGCUGUUUUUCCCCGUUUCGUAUCGUGGUCACGGAGGACAGGAUCGAUUCAAUGCUCAUCGUAAGAACAAAUAUUUUAUGACCGUGAUAUUCAAAAGUGAAUAAAAAUAUAAAAAGAAUGUUUAUUUAUGUUAUUUUCACUCUUGUGAUUCAACAGGAAAUAAUGUGGAAAGUAUAGUUGAAU
This is a non-coding RNA of Sesamum indicum (sesame), 1117 nucleotides long. The record is from RefSeq and is a predicted model, not a curated record. Lineage: Eukaryota; Viridiplantae; Streptophyta; Magnoliopsida; Lamiales; Pedaliaceae.